This 495-nucleotide ribosomal RNA is filed under the name uncultured bacterium. RNAcentral's name for it is "partial 16S ribosomal RNA". It matches the Rfam family "Bacterial small subunit ribosomal RNA", at positions 28 to 507 of the family's 1533-position model. The record is from RNAcentral.
GAUGAACGCUGGCGGCGUGCCUAAUACAUGCAAGUAGAACGCUGAAGGAGGAGCUUGCUCUUCUGGAUGAGUUGCGAACGGGUGAGUAACGCGUAGGUAACCUGCCUGGUAGCGGGGGAUAACUAUUGGAAACGAUAGCUAAUACCGCAUGACAACAGUUAUUGCAUGAUAACUGUUUAAAAGGGGCAACUGCUCCACUACCAGAUGGACCUGCGUUGUAUUAGCUAGUUGGUGAGGUAACGGCUCACCAAGGCGACGAUACAUAGCCGACCUGAGAGGGUGAUCGGCCACACUGGGACUGAGACACGACCCAGACUCCUACGGGAGGCAGCAGUAGGGAAUCUUCGGCAAUGGACGGAAGUCUGACCGAGCAACGCCGCGUGAGUGAAGAAGGUUUUCGGAUCGUAAAGCUCUGUUGUAAGAGAAGAACGAGUGUGAGAGUGGAAAGUUCACACUGUGACGGUAUCUUACCAGAAAGGGACGGCUAACUACGUG